RNAcentral lists this long non-coding RNA (3988 nucleotides) under Sus scrofa (pig). Its description in RNAcentral is "lncRNA (ENSSSCG00045009886.1)". The record is from RNAcentral. Lineage: Eukaryota; Metazoa; Chordata; Mammalia; Artiodactyla; Suidae.
UGCACCCAUGGCACAGGGAAGUUCCCAGGCUAGGGGCUGAAUCGGAGCUAUAGCUGCUGGCCUACACACCAUGGCUCACGGCAAGGCCAGAUCCUUAACCCACUGGAUGAGGCCAGAGAUCGAACCUGCGUCCUCGUGGAUACUAGUCGGGAGGCAGGCGAUUCUCAUGCCAAGCAAAGCUUGAGAGAAGCACUGACUUAGUAACUUGCCAAAGCCAAACAACCUAAGUGGCAGAGUCAACGUGGAAGGUUUGUGCUGAGUGUUGGAAACUGUCCCCUCCACUUUGGGUAAUUAACGAGGAGCCAGGCUUGGGCGAAUCAGGUUACUACCUGCAAUACAGGUACUACAUCCUGAGAUCAGGAUCAGACACUCUCAAACCCUGGUCUGUUCCCAGAGACUCUGCCUCUCAAUGGGCAGAGUCCUGAACUGCCUAACUCGGCUUCCCACCUUUUAGGCACAUGGAGGGACACUGGGCACCAACGACCUCAAUGUACUCAAGUCACGAGUACAAGGAGACUCUAGUUCAAGUAUGUAAAUCACCUUAUUUCAUUGCCAUAUAGAUGAGUGAGAAGGAAAUUAAGGACCAACAGAGCGUACUUUGUACCAGACACUGAGCUAAGGGCACUAGCCCACUGCUAAUGACAGAAGUUUCUGUGUGAUCUAAUGUGGUAACCACUAGCCACGUGUGGCUAAGGAGCACUUGAAAUGCAUGACUGAGGGAUUCAAUUUUUAGUUUCAUUUAAAUUUGUAUUCAUUUAAAUGUUGAUGGCCCCGAGCAGCCAGUGGCUAUUUCUUGUGUUAGAAAGGAUAGUGCUAGAUGCCUUUUCUUAUUUAAAUUUUCCCCCAAACCUAUGAGGGGUGAGGCUAAUAUUGUGCCCAUUGUGCAGAUGGCAAAACUGAGGCUCAGGCUCAGAGAGGCUAAAUCAUGAGCCCAAAGCCACAGAGCCUGUUAGUUAGUGGUGGGGCUGGGGUCCUAACCCAAGUCUGCUCUUACUCCAGAUGUCCUAGGCACCAAAGCACUCGGCUGCCAUGGGUUAGGUAGGUUUUGGGGGCAGCUGCUCAGACAUUUCCCUCAGCAAAGGCAAUGGCCAUGAUCAUAGGGCCCCUAAAAAUGGCUGCAUCUGAACGUCUCAUUCUCCAGGCCACAGCCAGUGCUGGUAUCCUCUUGGCAGCCGUCAAUGACUGGAUGUUUGGACACUAUUCUCCUGUUAUUAAAUGCGCAUUUUCCACUUAAAAAUAAGGAGUUUCCGUCACAAAUUAUUUAUAUGGAAAUGAUACUACUUCUGGCAGAGAAACAGGAAUAGAAGCUUUUUACUGUUUCUUUCAAGAUUGGGCGGGGGGGAAGCCUGUACCGAUAUUAUAUUCAUCUUUCCAUGUGUGGUCUUUGAAAGUCCGCCCACCCCAGACUUUGUACCCCAACCUCACCACUGCCAUGGUGAGAAACGGCUUCUAGGAUCUCAGGCAGCUAUGAGCAGCCUCCACCUCUCUCCCCACAACAGGCCAGCAGCACAGGAGCCUCCCCAACCCCGCCCUCCAUCCAAGAUGCUGGCGCCUCCACCCAGAAACCCGACCAAAGGGCAUCACUGAGAUUCUACGAACACACUCCAGACCUGCCUCCAUCCCAGCUCCCCCAUCUCCCGACCCAGGGGGGCGAUGUGGCAUGGGAGGAAAGGGCUAGAUCUUGCAGGCCAGGCUGACAGGGCCCAGAUGUGCUGUGCCAUCCUGGGGAGGUGGCUCACCCUCUCUGAACUUCACUUAUCUCCAGGGGUAAAAUGGGAAGAGCAAUGACGCCGCACACAACUGCUCUGAGCAUGUGACCCUGUGCCUGGGAACAUGUGAGUUUCCCACCAUCCCUCCUUUCUAACCUUCAGUCACAUCCUGACGCUUCUUUCAGGUCUGUCUUAGAGCUAAUCUUCCCCCUGCCCCCAGCACCCCCCGCCAGCUUCACCCGUGGCAUGUGAAAGUUCCCAGGCACGGCAUGGAACCCCCGCGACAGCAGCAACGACCAGGGCCACUGCAGGGACAAUGCUGUGUCCUGAACCUGCUGCACCCCAGGAGAACUCCCAGAUCUAACCUUAUUUAAAAGAUGUCUGCCCUCCAGGUCAACGUGUGUUCUGUUUUGUAUACUGUAGAUUCCCAAUCUACGCCUGCACCACUGCAAAGAUGCCCACCGUCGUUCGGCAGACAGACAACUGUCACAUUUCUGACAUGGACUGUGAGCCUGGACUUGAGUCCUGAGCUUCAGAUCUCUGCCUGUCCUGCUUUUCCUCCCAUGGUGCAACCAGCUCAUGGCCCGGCACACAACAGGGGCCCAAAUAAGCAUGCGUGGAAUUUCUGUAAAGACUGGGGCCAACCUAUAAUGAGCAGAUCCAGCCAUCUCUUCCUUCAGGUGUUCAAUUACUAUUUAUUAAGUGCCUACGGCAUCUACUAAGGGUCAGGGAAGGAUCCUGGUCCUCAGCACUCAAGGACCCAAAGGAACAAAACCCUGUGCCUUGAGAGCAUCGCCUUCCAGCAGGAAGCGGGAGGAGAGAAUCACCAAAGGAAAAGAGAAAAUAGAGAAACCCUGUCCUUCCAAAGGCAAGAGAUGCUGCUGAUACAAACUACAGAGCAAAGCACGAGUUGCCGUCAUGGCGCAGUGGUUAACGAAUCCGACUAGGAACCAUGAGGUUGCGGGUUCAAUCCCUAGCCUUGCUCAGUGGGUUAAGGAUCCGGCCUUGAUGUGAGCUGUGGUGUAGGUCACAGACAUGGCUGGGAUCCCGCGUUGCUGUGGCUCUGGUGUAGGCCGGCAGCUACAGCUCUGAUUAGACCCCUAGCCUGGGAACCUCCAUAUGCUGAGGGAGCAGCCCUAGAAAAGGCCAAAAAAAAAAAAAAAAAAAAAACCCUACAGAGGAAAGGAAAGCAGAGCAGACUCCAGAAGGGCAAUGUUCAGGAAGAAAUCUGCAAAUGUAAACAGGGUGGCCAGGAAAGGAGGCCCUGCAAAGGGGGUACAUGAGCACAGAUUUAGGGGAGCUGAGAGACCUACAGUUUAGAUACGAACUUAACUUUGAAAAAAAAAAUCAUAAGCUGAAGAAAUGCCUGAUGAUAUACACAGGAGGAUGUUAGAAAAGAAAGAACACGUUCAUUUCUCGGACUAAGCUCUCUUCCCAGGUCUCCAUCUAUUUUAAUGCCAGCUAAUGCCUACUGGGUGCUUAUCACACGCCUGGCAAUGCCCAAGUAUUUUCUGUAGGUGAGUCCACUGCCAAGGGAAGAGGGUCAGAGCACGGAUGGAAACCAUCGAUGAUGCCAGGCAGGCAUGCUAAGGAGCAGGCUUGGCAGGACAACAGGAAGCAGUGGGGAAGGUGGUGCCCCAGGACCACACGACAAAACAGGCUGAGGGUUUUGGACCUUCUGCCUUUACGAGCGAGGCCGGAAAUCGGGAUUUUUGGGUGAAUUUCCCAAUUUCAAAUUUUUAAACAUUGGCAAGCAAUUACAAGUUUUUGAGGGCAUUUCAGUGAUGGCUCAGUGGUGACGAACCCAGCGAGGAUCCAUGAGGACUCAGGUUCGAUCCCUCGCCUCCCUCAGUGGGUUAAGAAUCCAGCGUUGCCGUGAUCUGUGGUGUAGGUCGCAGACACAGCUUGGAGCCCACGUUGCUGUGGCUGUGGUGUAGGCCAGCGGCCGCCUCGCCGAUUCAGUCCCUAGCCUGGGAACUCACAAAUAUCGCAGGCACGGACCUAAAAACCAACACACACAAAUAAACAAAAAAGAAGUUUUUGAAACAUCCAAUGGGUCCAAAAGAACUUUUUUUGAUUACUAUUUUCAGAGACAUAGUUGGUCUGAACAGAGAACUCUGGGAGAGAAGUCAGGAACUAAAAAUGUUUGCGAGGAUCCCAUCAAACAGCCAGGGGGCCGCAUCCUGAGAAGAGGUGUAAUUCGUAGGUGAAAACGGUCUCAUCUCCUGGGACCUCUUGUGGGCCUGCCCAGGGGUCUGUGAGCUGUGGUAUCUGGCAAA